CAGUCGCCGCGGUAAUACGGAGGGUGCAAGCGUUAAUCGGAAUUACUGGGCGUAAAGCGCACGCAGGCGGUUUGUUAAGUCAGAUGUGAAAUCCCCGAGCUUAACUUGGGAACUGCAUUUGAAACUGGCAAGCUAGAGUCUUGUAGAGGGGGGUAGAAUUCCAGGUGUAGCGGUGAAAUGCGUAGAGAUCUGGAGGAAUACCGGUGGCGAAGGCGGCCCCCUGGACAAAGACUGACGCUCAGGUGCGAAAGCGUGGGGAGCAAACAGGAUUAGAGACCCCGGUAGUCCCUGUCUCUUAUAC
This 301-nucleotide ribosomal RNA is filed under the name uncultured bacterium. RNAcentral's name for it is "partial 16S ribosomal RNA". It matches the Rfam family "Bacterial small subunit ribosomal RNA", at positions 509 to 807 of the family's 1533-position model. The record is from RNAcentral.